Molecule: ribosomal RNA, 350 nt
Filed under: uncultured eukaryote
Lineage: Eukaryota
Description: SSU rRNA
Rfam family: Eukaryotic small subunit ribosomal RNA
Source: RNAcentral
CCAGCACCCGCGGUAAUUCCAGCUCCAAUAGCGUAUAUUAAAGUUGCUGCAGUUAAAAAGCUCGUAGUUGGAUUUCUGGCUCGAUAUAUUUUACCGGCCACGGUUUCGUGUGUUAGUGCUUGAUAUUCUGGCCAUCCUUCCAAUGGCUAUUCAUCCUUCUUCAUUGAGGUGGUGAGUGGUAUUGGAUCUUUUACUUUGAAAAAAUUAGAGUGUUUCAAGCAGGCUUUAUGCUAUGAAUACAUUAGCAUGGAAUAAUAAUUUAGGACUUCGGUUCUAUUUUGUUGGUUUCUAGGACUGAAGUAAUGAUUGAUAGGGAUAGUUGGGGGUAUUCGUAUUCAAUUGUCAGAGGU